UACGGAGGGGGUUAGCGUUGUUCGGAAUUACUGGGCGUAAAGCGCGCGUAGGCGGAUUAGUCAGUUAGAGGUGAAAUCCCAGGGCUCAACCCUGGAACUGCCUUUAAUACUGCUAGUCUUGAGUUCGAGAGAGGUGAGUGGAAUUCCGAGUGUAGAGGUGAAAUUCGUAGAUAUUCGGAGGAACACCAGUGGCGAAGGCGGCUCACUGGCUCGAUACUGACGCUGAGGUGCGAAAGUGUGGGGGAGACAAAACAGGAUUAGAUACCCGGUGUCAGUCC
This 278-nucleotide ribosomal RNA is filed under the name uncultured bacterium. RNAcentral describes it as "partial 16S ribosomal RNA". It matches the Rfam family "Bacterial small subunit ribosomal RNA", at positions 524 to 796 of the family's 1533-position model. The record is from RNAcentral.